This 357-nucleotide long non-coding RNA is filed under the name Salvia miltiorrhiza (redroot sage). Its description in RNAcentral is "long non-coding RNA (SMIL_LNC014275)". Lineage: Eukaryota; Viridiplantae; Streptophyta; Magnoliopsida; Lamiales; Lamiaceae. The record is from RNAcentral.
AAGUAUCAGACUAGGGGCCAAGCCUCGUUAAAACCUUACUAAAGAAAAUCUGCAUGGGGAAAAACCUUAGUAAGGGAAAAGAGUACUCGUCUAAUAAACAGAGAAAGCGAACAAGAGAGCGGAUGUGGGAAAACUUCAGAGGUUCGGCCUAACUAUCAUCCCUAAGUAAACCCUGCUAAAAAAAACGCACAAGGGAGAAACACCACCAAAAAACAGACGUUAAAGAAUAAAAAAACCAACAGAGACCAACCGGAGAGGGCCAAGGCCUAUCGCCAGAACCUUGAAAAAACCCAGCCUCCGACGUCCCCAACCCACCACCGGCAACCAACCUACGGCCGACAGCUACACCAUGCGCAC